GUCUGAUGUGAAAGCCCACGGCUCAACCGUGGAGGGUCAUUGGAAACUGGAAAACUUGAGUGCAGAAGAGGAAAGUGGAAUCCAUGUGUAGCGGUGAAAUGCGCAGAGAUAUGGAGGAACACCAGCGGCGAAGGCGACUUUCUGGUCUGUAACUGACGCUGAUGUGCGAAAGCGUGGGGAUCAAACAGGAUUAGAUACCCUGGUAGUCAAGGGCG
RNAcentral lists this ribosomal RNA (215 nucleotides) under uncultured Staphylococcus sp. RNAcentral describes it as "partial 16S ribosomal RNA". It matches the Rfam family "Bacterial small subunit ribosomal RNA", at positions 587 to 802 of the family's 1533-position model. The record is from RNAcentral. Lineage: Bacteria; Bacillati; Bacillota; Bacilli; Caryophanales; Staphylococcaceae.